ACUGUCCAGACUAGCCAUGCACGUCUAAGUACAAACUAAAUGAUGGUGAAACUGCAAAUGGCUCAUUACAACGGUUAUGAUGUACCCGGGAGUUCCGAUGGAUAUUUCCAGUAACACUAGAACUAAUACAUGUCCCUGCGUUUAUUAGUUUCGCACAGUCCGUCGCUGAGUCAUGGUAAACAGUUGAUCGACUCGACGUCCCGGAACAGUUUCCGCCCCAUCAGCUUCGAUGGUUGGGUAUUGGCCUACCAUUGCAACAACGGGUAACGAGGAAUUAGGGUUUGAUUUCGGAGAGGGAGCCUGAGAAACGGCUACCACAUCUACGGAUGGCAGCAGGCGCGCAAAUUACCCAAUGCAGACACUGUGAGGUAGUGACGAGAAAUAAUAAAGCGGGACUUCUGUUUCGCUAUUAUAAUGAGGAAUAACCAAAGGUCAUUCCGAUUAGCAACUGAUGGGAAAGUCUGGUGCCAGCAGCCGCGGUAAUACCAGCGUCAGUAGCA
Molecule: ribosomal RNA, 500 nt
Filed under: uncultured Myrionecta
Lineage: Eukaryota; Ciliophora; Litostomatea; Cyclotrichida; Mesodiniidae
Description: SSU rRNA
Rfam family: Eukaryotic small subunit ribosomal RNA
Source: RNAcentral